This 377-nucleotide ribosomal RNA is filed under the name uncultured bacterium. Its description in RNAcentral is "bacterial SSU rRNA". It matches the Rfam family "Bacterial small subunit ribosomal RNA", at positions 29 to 431 of the family's 1533-position model. The record is from RNAcentral.
AACGAACGCUGGCGGCAGGCCUAACACAUGCAAGUCGAACGCCCUAGCAAUAGGGAGUGGCAGACGGGUGAGUAACACGUGGGAACCUUCCCUAUAGUACGGAAUAGCUCAGGGAAACUUGAAGUAAUACCGUAUACGCCCGAGAGGGGAAAGGAUUUAUCGCUAUAGGAUGGGCCCGCGUCGGAUUAGCUAAGUUGGUGAGGUAAUGGCUCACCAAGGCGACGAUCCGUAGCUGGUUUGAGAGAACGACCAGCCACACUGGGACUGAGACACGGCCCAGACUCCUACGGGAGGCAGCAGUGGGGAAUAUUGGACAAUGGGCGCAAGCCUGAUCCAGCCAUGCCGCGUGAGUGAUGAAGGCCUUAGGGUUGUAAAGG